CUUGGGCCAGAUGAUAUCACACACUCAAGGCUAUUGGCACUGAUUAUGGCAGAGAUGCAGUAUAGAACACCUGCCACACCCCAAUCCUCCCAAUAGAAGGAUAAUAAGAACAUCUUGGUUUGCUACGGAGCAUUGGUAGAGCUUCAGCAGCUGACCAUGGGAUACCAAGAAACUAUGCCACCUUAUGGCAAUUCAGGCUGCAGAUCCCAAAACAAGAUUUAAAAUGCAGACUUGUUGGGAGAAAUAAGGGACAGGGAGUAGGGGGAAGCUGUGAGUAGGAGUAACUAGGGAGAGCAUUCAUUCAGAGCACAUCACAAUAAAGAUGUGAUAAGGAAAAGAGAGAGAGGAGGCAGGAGGAUUGAAUAGAAUAGCCCCAGAUUGUAACGCAACUCUGAGAAAUUUUUUUUCUUUUUUUCUCCUAGGCUGUUGGGAGGCUCAGGACAAAAAUUUACUAUUAGUGUCCAGCACUGAGCAGAAAUGACUCAACUCUAGUAUUCCUGCUGUGCCCAGUCAUUCACUAGGAGCAGCCCAGAGUCAGCAGGACCUUGAUGUUGAUACUGAAGCAGAUCCUAAGUUGAAGAAGGACAUGUUUGCUUCCCUUUCUGCCGAGAUUAUAAGUUUCCUGAGGCCUCCCCAGCCAAGUGGAACUGUGAGUCAACUAAAUCUCUUUUCUAUAUAAAUUAUCCAGUCUUGGGCAAUUAUUUAUAGCAGCACGAGAACGGAUUAAUACAGUAAAUUGGUACUGCAGAGAGUAGGGUGCUGCUGUGAAAAAUACCCCAAAAUGUGGAAGCAACUUUGGAAGUGGGUAACAGGUAGAGGUUGGAACAGUUUGGAUGGCUCAGAAGAAGGGAAAUAAUGUGGAAAAGUUUGGAACUUCCUAGAGACAUGGAGGGCCCAGAAGACAGAAAGAUGUGGGAAAGUUUGGAAUUACUUAGAUUU
This 939-nucleotide long non-coding RNA is filed under the name Callithrix jacchus (white-tufted-ear marmoset). RNAcentral describes it as "lncRNA (ENSCJAG00000065984.2)". The record is from RNAcentral. Lineage: Eukaryota; Metazoa; Chordata; Mammalia; Primates; Cebidae.